GUGCUCACUUCAGCAGCAUAUAUACUAAAAUUAGACCGAUACAGAGAAGAUUAGCAUGGUCCCUGCGCAAAGAUGACACUUUCAUGAGUGAUUAUUCUACCUACCAU
This is a small nuclear RNA of Suncus etruscus (white-toothed pygmy shrew), 107 nucleotides long. NCBI's taxonomy places the organism in Eukaryota, Metazoa, Chordata, Mammalia, Eulipotyphla, Soricidae. The record is from RefSeq and is a predicted model, not a curated record.